AUUGAACGCUGGCGGCAUGCCUUACACAUGCAAGUCGAACGGCAGCACGGGAGCUUGCUCCUGGUGGCGAGUGGCGAACGGGUGAGUAAUACAUCGGAACGUACCCUGAAGUGGGGGAUAACGUAGCGAAAGUUACGCCAAUACCGCAUAUUCUGUGAGCAGGAAAGAGGGGGAUCGCAAGACCUCUUGCUUUAGGAGCGGCCGAUGUCGGAUUAGCUAGUUGGUGAGGUAAAGGCUCACCAAGGCGACGAUCCGUAGCGGGUCUGAGAGGAUGAUCCGCCACACUGGGACUGAGACACGGCCCAGACUCCUACGGGAGGCAGCAGUGGGGAAUUUUGGACAAUGGGCGCAAGCCUGAUCCAGCCAUGCCGCGUGAGUGAAGAAGGCC
Molecule: ribosomal RNA, 388 nt
Filed under: uncultured bacterium
Lineage: Bacteria
Description: bacterial SSU rRNA
Rfam family: Bacterial small subunit ribosomal RNA
Source: RNAcentral